ACCCGAAGACGGUGCGCUAACCCGCAAGGGGGGUAGCCGGCCACGGUAAGGUCAGCGACUGGGGUGAAGUCGUAACAAGGUAGCCGUAGGUGAACCUGCAGAAGGAUCA
This 109-nucleotide ribosomal RNA is filed under the name uncultured eukaryote. RNAcentral describes it as "partial small subunit ribosomal RNA". It matches the Rfam family "Bacterial small subunit ribosomal RNA", at positions 1419 to 1525 of the family's 1533-position model. The record is from RNAcentral.